GCGCGAGUGCCGUAACUGGUAGCCGGGUACGCUUGAGGGGCGUAUGUUCGUAAGAACGUGGAGGUUCGAGUCCUCUCUCGCGCA
Molecule: transfer RNA, 84 nt
Filed under: Patescibacteria group bacterium
Lineage: Bacteria
Description: tRNA-Leu
Rfam family: tRNA
About the family: Transfer RNA (tRNA) molecules are approximately 80 nucleotides in length. Their secondary structure includes four short double-helical elements and three loops (D, anti-codon, and T loops). Further hydrogen bonds mediate the characteristic L-shaped molecular structure. tRNAs have two regions of fundamental functional importance: the anti-codon, which is responsible for specific mRNA codon recognition, and the 3' end, to which the tRNAs corresponding amino acid is attached (by aminoacyl-tRNA synthetases). tRNAs cope with the degeneracy of the genetic code in two manners: having more than one tRNA (with a specific anti-codon) for a particular amino acid; and 'wobble' base-pairing, i.e. permitting non-standard base-pairing at the 3rd anti-codon position.
Source: RNAcentral